Xenia sp. Carnegie-2017 is the source of this 827-nucleotide long non-coding RNA. RefSeq lists it as uncharacterized. The record is from RefSeq and is a predicted model, not a curated record. NCBI's taxonomy places the organism in Eukaryota, Metazoa, Cnidaria, Anthozoa, Malacalcyonacea, Xeniidae. The transcript has 3 exons.
UAAAAAAACUGGACAGUUAGGAAAACUGUUCAGUUUUAAAUACUGCAUUAUAAUUAACAUUAUAAGUUUACAGAUUGGUAAUCCAGGCAUGUUUCAUUGUGGAAAAGUAAAGGUUUCUCAGGAUUUUUGAAAAUUUAUUCUAUUGAGCUUUCGACUUGGUUCUUAUGAAGGCUCGAAGAACGCUCAAUAAAAUAAAUUUUCAAAAGUCCGGAGAAACCUUUACUUUUCUACAAUUAACAUUAUAUGUUUAUAGUCGUUCGUUACCAAAAUAUAUGAUGUGGAUUUGCCAGUGCCAAAGCUUUCCUAGUUUUGUAUGAAGGAAAGCUUGAACAAAGGGAAGGUAUAAGGAAGUUAUCAUGUGACAUGAUUAAUGCACAGAUAAAAUGAAAAAUCUCAUGAGAAUUGUGUGAUAUUCGCUGGUGUUGGUAAUUUUAAAAGUUUUGACAUCAGAAAGGUGUUACCAAGUGUCAUUUGAAUGCAAUAGUUUCAGUCUCCUCAAUCAUUUAUUUAUCGCAACAUUAUUGUCCACUAAAAAUGGUGACUGUAUGUCAUAUGAUGUUUUUCAUGUAUAUUUCGGGAUAUAUUUCAGGAAAAGAAUUGGAGAAGUGUUUUAGGAUGCUCUGUUUGUGAUUAUAUCUUUAAAGCUCAAGGAAAGGUCAGUUUUCUUGAAGACAUUCCUGUCAUUGCAACAUGAUUUGGUUAUUUCAACUGUAUAUUUUGUCAUAUUUCGUCAUUGUUUAUGUUGUUGAAAAUGAAGACAAUUUUCAAGGAAAAAGCCUCAACAUGGUGAACAUAAACAUCAAAAAACUGACUUAUGAAAUAUCUCG